GUGUUUUUAUGAAAGUAAAGAAGGUUAGCAUUCCUUUUGACAUGGAGGAAAAUGAUUCAAGCUGAUCUGCUCCACCUGUGCACAGUCAGGGCAUCACCACCUCUUUCUGGCACCUAGCCAUGUUUUUGA
RNAcentral lists this non-coding RNA (129 nucleotides) under Procavia capensis (Cape rock hyrax). The record is from RNAcentral. Lineage: Eukaryota; Metazoa; Chordata; Mammalia; Hyracoidea; Procaviidae.